Cucurbita maxima (winter squash) is the source of this 540-nucleotide long non-coding RNA. RefSeq lists it as uncharacterized. Lineage: Eukaryota; Viridiplantae; Streptophyta; Magnoliopsida; Cucurbitales; Cucurbitaceae. The transcript is spliced from 2 exons. The record is from RefSeq and is a predicted model, not a curated record.
AUUUAUGGACCUUCUGCCCCCCGAAAUCAAAGCUUGUUGCAAGAUUUAAGCAGUUGAAUAUGUCCAAGAACAAAGAAAACUCGGCUUCAAAUACAUUUUCCUGGAUCGAGUUAGCCAAAAUUUCAUCUCUCAUAAGGUUAAUUGCAUCUUUUCCAACGACUUCAAAUCUAGAAGCAUAAGUAGGUAACAGAUCCAUAGCUCAAAGAGAAACCCAGAACAAUUAAUGAAAUAAAGACAGCCCACAUUCUUCAAAUUGAAGAAAUCCAGAGAGUUCAAAUCAAAGAAACGCAGUAAAACCAUGGCAGGAAUGUGAAACAGGCCGAUUCCAUAGCGGAUUGCAAUCGAACAAAAAAUCCAAGAGUGACCCAUUUCGGAAUGAACCCAUAAACAGUCAAAACUCAGCUAAAAAAUAUCAAAUAGGAAAACCCAGAUCAUGGAAUCAUUAGCAAGUGGUACGAAAAUGGGGAAGAUCUAGAAAUAUGAAUGCGGAUAAGGGGUGGAUGAUUGAUUAAGAGUAGAAAGUACCUGUAAGAGACAAAA